CGGACGGGUGAGUAACACGUGGAUAACCUACCUAUAAGACUGGGAUAACUUCGGGAAACCGGAGCUAAUACCGGAUAAUAUAUUGAACCGCAUGGUUCAAUAGUGAAAGACGGUUUUGCUGUCACUUAUAGAUGGAUCCGCGCCGCAUUAGCUAGUUGGUAAGGUAACGGCUAACCAAGGCAACGAUGCGUAGCCGACCUGAGAGGGUGAUCGGCCACACUGGAACUGAGACACGGUCCAG
This 241-nucleotide ribosomal RNA is filed under the name uncultured Staphylococcus sp. RNAcentral's name for it is "partial 16S ribosomal RNA". It matches the Rfam family "Bacterial small subunit ribosomal RNA", at positions 99 to 334 of the family's 1533-position model. Lineage: Bacteria; Bacillati; Bacillota; Bacilli; Caryophanales; Staphylococcaceae. The record is from RNAcentral.